AGCAAAGGAGAGCCUUUCUAACAAUAUUUUUAACCAGCCCUUCAAAUUCUAUAAUUCUCUAUUCUACAGAAUGCUUAAGAACUAUCCUAUGGAAAGGUUCUCACUUUAUUUUCCAUAGAGCAUUUUCAUACUGGACAGCCUUGUGUGUUUUCAUUUUCCUAUUUUCUCCCCUCAAUCCCUUAUGCAGGCAGGUUUUCAAAAGUCCUCAGGAUUACCCUAACUCUGCCUUCCAUUGAAGUGAAGGGUAAGACUCCCACUGAAAUCAACAUGAGUUUUACCACUGAAGUCAAUGGGAAUAGUUAUGUCCAUGGAUCCCUGCCUCAUUCAGUGCACAGAACGGACGAAUGCACAAGAGGGAAGAAUUAAGAUUACACAGACCACGACAUGUGCAUGACGGGGCACCAGCAGCAGUUGGCCCCAGGAAAAGGAAAGGUGGCACCAAAAGAUACAAGAACAACCAAACAGCAGAAAGGGAAUAGCAAGAGGGAUGGAAAUGAGAAGGGACACACAAGACUUGUUAAUACACGUGGAGGAGCUGGGUACAGCAUGGAGUGUUCGUGUUGCUAAGAGGGGCCGCCCUCAUGUAUUGGAUGCCAGUUGCCUAAUGGCUGUCAGAUGUGGGGAUGGAUCCUGUAACAAAAUGGAUAUAAGAUCUGCUCAACAUUUUCCAAGUUUCAAUCUUUUAAACAUUUUCUCAAAAUUCUGAAUUUCAACAAAGGGGUUGAAAUUAAAAAAAAAAAGAAAAA
This is a long non-coding RNA of Chrysemys picta bellii (western painted turtle), 746 nucleotides long. RefSeq lists it as uncharacterized. Lineage: Eukaryota; Metazoa; Chordata; Testudines; Emydidae. The record is from RefSeq and is a predicted model, not a curated record.